RNAcentral lists this long non-coding RNA (1199 nucleotides) under Struthio camelus australis. RNAcentral describes it as "lncRNA (ENSSCUG00000008780.1)". Lineage: Eukaryota; Metazoa; Chordata; Aves; Struthioniformes; Struthionidae. The record is from RNAcentral.
GUGAUUCCCCAAAAGUUGGUGCAGAAACUCUUAAUUCUGUCUCCCAGUUCAGCAGAAGAUCUGGCCGAAAAAUGGGCAUUUUCUCUUCGAAAAUGACAACACACAAGAAAAAUGAAACAAAUGUACAAACACUGGGCUUUAUUUCCUGGCACACUUCUCUCAGGACAUUUGCAUUUCGGUUACCAUUCUGAAAGGCAAAAAAGGCUAGCCUAAAAUUACAAAAUGAAAUAUUUUUAUUUUUCGAAAGUGCGGCUGUAGUACCUCCCAUGAGUUUAGUUUAGGUGUCUCCAUCUCCCUGGCCUAAAGGAGACAGCCAAGAUGCUAAAAAUAAAGGCAGUCUAAACUGACCAUACAAGAGUCUCUGCUUCCACUGGAAAAUCUGGGAUUCAACAAAUUAGCUAUGCUUCAAAACCAGGGAUAUGUAGCCCUGGGCUGAGGUGAUGGGUAGUUAACCAGCUGGGCACGAACUCCAGCUGCAGGUUGAAAAGAGUCAACACCAUUCCCAGAUGUGCAAGCGGGAACCUGGCAUUGGGACAAAUGCUGAAGUUCUCCCUUUUUGCUCUUUUCUGGAAAGACUGCUAAAAGGUUAGUGUUGGAAAGCGAGCUAGCCAGCUGGCUGCUAAAAGCUGUCAGGUCCAGGGAGGCUGCAGAAGCGCCGGGCAAGGCUGUUCCCUGGGACGAUGUUGCUUGUUCUUGCUGCAGUAAGUGCCAGAAAGCUGUGUACCUGAAACCCUCCAGCACGGGAGCCUGGGUUUCCAUUUUGAGCUCAUUUCAUCACUUGUCCGGAAGCCAGGUAAUUCUUACCUGGCGGCUCCGAGGGAGCAGGCUGGCACAGGGCUCACUCCUACCAGUUUUCCAGGAAGGUGACGGGAGGAGCCUCCCUCCAGUGUCUCCCAAGGGCGGGAGGCUGGGGGAUGAUCACUGGUGCCAGGAUUGCUCUACCCCAAAUUUUCUGUCUCUGAAAUUUGGUCGCUUUGGAAAUUUGUCGUGGCUUCUGCGUGGCAAGGUUCCUGCGUGGCAUGGAGGAAAGCAGAAGUUCUGGAACGUUGAUGCUAUUCCUCAUGGGUAAUUUCAUGCAUGAUAUGUUUUUUAAAACUUCUAGGUGGCUAACUUCCCACUACAGCUUUAAACCAGUAAAAGAAAUAAUCUUUACUCUCCUGCUCUGUUCCCUCCAAUCCCCUUUCCAACCAGUACUGUUC